This is a long non-coding RNA of Rhineura floridana, 8959 nucleotides long. RefSeq lists it as uncharacterized. The transcript has 4 exons. NCBI's taxonomy places the organism in Eukaryota, Metazoa, Chordata, Lepidosauria, Squamata, Rhineuridae. The record is from RefSeq and is a predicted model, not a curated record.
CAUCCAGACUGUCACUAUUUUUAGAUGGCAUUCAGUAAUGACAAGUCCGUGGAAUUCUUGGUCCCGGUCACAGCGACAAAGUCCCAGCCGGCACAAGCUGGCAAGUAAGCGUCUCAUCAGCAGCGCACCCCGCGAGCAGGACGACCCACAGCAGCUACGGUGACACCAGGCAAUAGGUACGAUGAUAACAAUACAGGGCCGCAACGCCCCGGUGUUCUAGAUGGAAGCACAACCGCAGCAGCAACGAAAAGGCACCGGCCACGAUGAGGAACGCCAGCCGUAGCAACCCCGCCACAGAGAAGCUUUUUCCUUGGUCACCUGCUGAAUAUUUGGAGAAUGCUUAAAAAUCAAGAGGUGUAUUAUGAUCUCUUUCUGCAAUGGGCUGAGGAAUAUGGACCAAUCCUGCGUUUAAAUGACUUUCACAAAGUUGCAUUGUUAAUAUUAAACCCGGAAGGUGUAAAGGUAUGCUGUGUAACAUUAUGUCUCCAAGACUGCAGGAAGAUACAGUACGUCUAUCAAGUUAAGUCAUGGUUUGGAUUAGCAAUGUGGCUGAACUGGGGCUCAUGGUUUGUCUCACUCCAGAUAAACUACAAGUUGUAGUCAAGGCUUUUUCUUGGCUUACUUCUUGUGGUUUGUCCAGGAGAAACAAACCAUGAGCCCAGGUUUGGAUGUAAUGCUAAGCCAAACAAUGGCUUCUGGAUAGUGCAACAGGAGGAUGACCAAAGGAGGACCACAGUGGCUGCCAGCCUAUGGCAGCCAACUAGUGCUGGCACUCAUUGCACUUUUAUCAAGAUAUGAGUACCGACACCUCAUUUUUCACAAAACAAGUACUGAUAAAUAUUAUCAUUUAUUGGAUUUUUUAAUUGAUUGUUAUCCAAAGGUCUCUGGGGGACUUACAACAUUGUUGAAAACAAAGAAAAUAUACCAUAAAAACAAAAUAAUAAAACAACAACCCCCAUACAGCCACAGAGGUUUUUGCCAUACAGUAACACAAACAACAUAAUCUCAGCCUAUCAAAUGCCUAGGAAAAAAAGAUAAGUUUUUACCUGGUGACGGAAAGGUAAGCACAUUCCACAGAUGGGGAGCCACAACUGAAAAGGCCCUCUCCCUUGUCACUGUCCUCCGAGUCUCCCUUAGGGGGACCUGGAGAAGGACCUCAGAAGGAACAGUGGCAGCAGCAGUAGUGGAUAGUGGGGGAGAAGAAUGAUUCCCCCCCUUCUUUUCAUCAUCCUGCUGUACUUUGCAAUACAGCAGUACUGAAAGAAUGCUGCUGCUUGCGAUAGGAAGUCUUCAUAAGGACUGAUUCAAUAGCUGUAGUACCUGGGAAGACUCCAAGUCCCAUACAGCACUCCCCUUUCAGUCCUGACUCCUAUGAGCUUUGUAUUUCUGAUCCCUGCCCCCCAACACAUCUCCUCAUUUCCCAAGCCCCUCACAUUGGUUCAGGAUAUGAACCGAUUCAUUUUUGACCUGAGGGGUGGGAAACAAAUCAGGGGGCUUCCAGAAUAUCACUGUUUUCAGGGAUUUAAUCACAUCCCAGCAAAUUCAGGCUGCACAGCUUGGAGUUCUUGCUAAACAAACCUGUUUCCCCCAAAGAUCAAACUUUUUGCAAUAAGGAAGGUGAUGGAAAAAUGCACUGGAAAGUGUGAGAUUACACUUGCUUCCCACAACUUUGUCUAAGCUCCCCAGAAACAAAUCAGGAUGAAUGCUCAUUAAACAGGUUGCCUGGAAAUGACCUCAGUUCCUUUUGGUGUUAGGUUCUGGGCACACUAGUGGCUUCAAAAACAGCUAGAAUGGUUUUUCUGGCUGCGUUUUGAAGCAACUCUGCCCUCUGCUGGCCCCACCUUCCUUCUCCACUGCUGCCUUCAGACCUUUCAGGACCGCCUGCAGCAAAGCAUUUCCAUUGGCCAUCUGGAAGACAAAGGGGUUGAGCUACCAACCAGUUGUGAAACCCUCCCUGAAGCUCCCUAAAGACAAUAGAGAUAUAACAGGAGAGAGUUCCAAAGGGUACUCUGUAAUAAAGUAUACUAUAUUUUUGCGUCUCAAGUUGUUGGGAAUGCCAUCGUAAUUUGUACUUCUUUUUUCAUUUUUCUGAAGCUGUUGAGUCCCUAAUCAACUCUUUCUGUUUGUUUGUUUCUAUGUAUGAGUCUUGAACCUCCACCCACUACACAUAAUUCCUAUCUGAAGCAUUUUCUAAAAUUAAGUGAUCCUAAUUCCCUAUAAUACCAAACACGGGUGGAUCCACGCCUAUAGGCUAGAAGCGAAAGAAGGCCAACCAACACUAAGUGCAGGAAGGGGAUUGUGAUCAUGAAAAUAUGGUGGACAAUUUUGUCAACUUCUUCUUUGCAGGUUUGUUACUGUUUUACUCUUUAAAAUUAAAUAUGCAAUCGACCCAGUUGUGAUCCAAGAACAGCUGCAGAUAGAAACAGGCCUUCUACAGGUUCAACCAAUGCAUAUGCAGAUUGCAUUGAACGCUUCUUUUUCAUCCACAGUGAGAUAGUUAUGGUCACUCUUCUUGUAUGCUGCUUUUCCAUACGCAUCAUGCAUAAAGAAGUUAAUAAAAUAAUUACCUGGGCUCCACUGAACUGGCAGGAUUCUUAUUUUGAACAGCUAAUGUUCAAAAGGUAGGCUUCAAAAGGUAGGUAGAUUUAGGCUUCAAUCCCAUGCACACUUACCUGGAAAUAAAGCUCCACUGAAUAUAGUAUGGCAAUUUCUAAGUAAAUAUUAAUGAUUGCUAUUUUAGUUUAAACUUUAAUCUAGGUGUCAUAAAUGGUUAGAGGUUAUAAUACCUGGUUAUAAAAUUUUCUUUCCUAAAUAUUUUCAGUCACAGAUCACAGAGUAGGGUUGCCAGGUUCAGGGCCAGAGACUGAUCCUGUAUCUUUAGGAGAAGAGAAAGUCAGCCAAGUACAGGUGUUCUUGCAACGUUGUAAUGGGAAAAACCACAAGGUGGGAUUCUCUCUUCCCCCUGCACAACUUUUAAAGAUACAGAAGACCUCUUGGAGGCCGGGCCUGGAGAGGGGGCAGUUUCCCAUGUCCUUAUCAGCUGCCUUCUCUAUGUGCCACCUGCUAGAGAUAGCAAGUGAGACCAGCUAACCCUUUUGUCAACUAGUUGGCUUUACCAGUCAACAUAACUAGAUGUGUUCCCCUGGUGUUUCUGGUGGCAAUGUCUCUCUCAGACCUCCAAUAAACGGAACACCUUAAGUGGUGUUACAGCAACUGUCUAAGAUGUUUACAAACAUAAUGGAAUGUUGGCUGCUUUCCCAGACACCUUAUUUCUCUUCAUUUUGCUACAAAACUCUCAUAGAGACUCACUGCUUUACAUGGGUUUGGGGGAAGGAAUCCUUCUUUGAACUUUUUGCAACUUAUGCAUACUAUGAUAUCAGCAAGCUGUAAACUAAGCAGACUUUGUUAGCAACUACAGCAAUUACAAGCAUAUGUCAAGCCUAUAUGGAGCUGGGCCUAUCACAAUAAUCUAUCCUUGACUUCAUUCUGACCAAUGGAGAUGAUUUAGUGGAUGAAGUGGCAGUUAGGGGAACUCUGGGGGAAAGUGACCAUGUUAUACUUGAGUUCUUGAUCUUAAAAGGAAGCAGAAGCUGAAUGCAGCCAUACGCAUACCCUGGACUUCAGAAAAGCCAAUUUUAGCAAAUUUAGAACAAUGACAAGUAAGGUCCCAUGGCAAGCAAUGCUACUAAGAAAAGAAGCCCAUUAUGUGUGGGGAGUUUCUGAAACAGGAAAUUCUAAAGGCACAAUUGCAAACAAUUCCAACAAGGAAAAAAGGCGGAAGACAGCAGAAAUAGCCAGUGUGGCUUCACAAAAAGCUCAGAGAUGACCUGAAAACAAAAAAGGACACAUACAGGAAGUGGAAGGAAGGGCAGGCCACAAAGGAAGAGUACAAGCAGGUAGCACAGAAUUGCAGGGAUGGCAUCAGAAAGGCUAAAGCUGAGAAUGAGCUGAGGUUAGCGAAGGAUACUAAAAGCAACAAAAACACCUUUCUUCAGUAAAGUAAAAGACGGAGAAAGGAAACGGUAGUUCAGCUACUCGAUGAAGAUGGCAAAAUGGUAUCAGAUGAUAAAGAAAAUGCAAAAGUGCUCAAUUCCUACUUUGGCUUAGUUUUCUCCCAAAAGAGGGUCUAUGACUCUCCUGGCAAACAUGAAGUGCAAGUUGAAGGGGCAGGAUUGCAGCUUGAGAUUGAGAGACAAAUGGUCAAGGCAUAUCUAAUUACUGUGAACGAGUUAAAAUCUCCAGGGCCUGAUGAACUGCAUCCUACAGUAAUGAAGGGACUGGCUGAAGAACUCUCGGAACCACUGUCUAUUAUCUUUGCGAAAUCGUGGAGGAUGGGUGAAGUACAGGAUGACUGGAAGAGGGCUAAUGUUCCUAUCUUAAAAGGGCAAAAAGAAGGAAACUGGGAACAACAGACCAGUGUUACGAGGUGCAAGGCCCUGGAGCCUGCUGAACUAUAAGUCCUACCCCACACACCCCUUGUAUUUCUGGUUAUGCUUUCCUGAGGUACUGUGUAACAAGGUCAUUCUGUGAGCAACAAAAAUAACCAAAAGAAACUGGAAUAAAUGUUGUCUUCUUCCUUGACACAUGUGGGCACAAACGACAUGGCCAGAAACACCUUGCAACAGAUCACCUCAGACUAUGAGGCUCUGGGUAGGAAGGUCAAGGAUUUUGGGGCUCAGGUGGUCUUCUCGUCAAUUCUUCCCGUGAAGGAUAGAGGACUACAAAGGGAAAGGAAGAUACUGCAGGUCAACAACUGGUUACGCAGAUGGUGUCGACGGGAGAGGUUUGGAUUCUGGGACCAUGGUCUAAGCUUCUUGGAGGUGGGACUGUUGGCAAGAGAUGGGCUGCACCUCACGAGGACUGGGAAGAAUCUCUUUGGCAGAAGUAUGGCAAAACUCAUCAAGAGGGCUUUAAACUAAAGUCUCUGGGGGAUGGAGAUGAUAGCUUAAACACCGAUCCAAAGACAGCGGGUUGUAAACGCAAGGAUUUGAAGGGUACAGGAGACACUGGGAGAGAGAAAGGGAUGCACGGCAAAGCUCACGGUAUAUUAAUGGAGGAAUCCAAUUAGGACAAAAGAGACUUCUGGUGUCUAUAUACCAACGCACGGAGCUUGAGUAACAAGCAAGAGGAGCUUGAAGUCUUAGUGCAUCAAGGCAAAUAUGACUUCAUAGGGAUAACAGAGACUUGGUGGGAUGACUCCCAUGAUUGGAAUAUAGCCAUUCAAGGAUAUAAACUCUACAGAAAGAAUAGAAGCAACAGAAAAGGAAGGGGAGUAGCGUUAUACGUCAAAGACAAAUACACCUCUAUGGAAAUCCAAGAGAGCGAACAAAGUGGUCCGAUAGAGACCAUUUGGGUAAAAAUAAAUGGAGAAACAAAUAAAACCAACAUGGUAGUAGGUGUCUACUACAGACCCCCUGGCCAAGAAGAGGUGGUAGACAAGGCCUUUCUCAAACAAAUCUCUGAAAUCUCAAGGAGGCAAGAAGUAGUAGUGAUGGGGGACUUCAACUACCCGGAUAUCUGCUGGGAGACAAACUCUGCGAAGCACAAAACCUCCAACAAAUUCCUGAUGGGCCUUGCUGAUAAUUUCCUCUUUCAAAAAGUAGAAGAAGGAACAAGGGGAUCGGCAAUCCUGGACCUGAUCUUAACUAACAGGGACGAAUUGGUCAUGGGAAUUAAAGCGGUCGGUACCUUGGGGGAAAGUGACCACGUAAUGCUGGAAUUCGUGAUUCUGGGGAAAGCCAAAGAAGAAUAUAGUCAAAUAUGGACCUUGGAUUUCAGGAAAGCCGAUUUUAGCAAGCUCAGGGAAAUGAUGGGUAGGAUCCCGUGGCUAGAUAGACUAAAGAAAAAAGGAGCCCAAGAAGCGUGGGAGUUCGUGAAGAACGUAUUAUAAAAAGCGCAAUCGCAAACAAUUCCGAAGAGGAAGAAAAACGGAAGACAUCGGAAAAAGCCAAUGUGACUACAUGGAAGACUGGUGGAGGAGGUAAAAAUAAAAAAGAGCAUGUAUAAAGAAUGGAAGGAAGGACGCAUCACCAAGGAAGAGUACCAACGAGCGGCUCGGGCUUGCAGGAAUAGCGUAAAGAAAGCUAAAACCCAGAAUGAGCUGAGGCUGGCGAGGGAAGCGAGGAACAACAAAAAGGGGUUUGUCAAGGAAAAAUCCUGUCAAACUAAUCUCAUCUCUUUUUUGAUCGGGUCACUAGCUUAGUAGAUGGUGGAAAUGCUGUAGAUGUCAUCUAUCUAGAUUUCAGCAAAGCAUUUAACAAAGUCCCCCACGACCCCUUGAUUAGCAAACUGGUCAAAUGCGGACUAGAUGGAAAUACUGUCAGGUGGAUUCACAACUGGUUGGAAAACCGUACUCAAAGAGUGGUCAUCGGUGGCUCUGCUUCGGACUGGAAGGAGGUUUCGAGUGGAGUGCCACAGGGUUCUGUCCUGGCGCCGAUACUCCUCAACAUUUUUAUCAAUGACUUAGAUGAUGGGGUGGAGGGAAGCCUUAUGAAGUUUGCGGAUGAUACGAAACUGGGAGGGAUAGCUAACACAAUGGAAGACAGGAAUAAAAUCCAAAGGGACCUGGAUAGACUAGAAAAUUGGGCUGAAAUUAAUAAAAUGACAUUCAAUAAAGACAAAUGCAAGAUUCUGCAUUUAGGCCACAAAAACAAAAUGCACGGGUACAGGAUGGGAAAUACCCGGCUUAGCAGUAGUGCGUGUGAGAAGGACCUUGGAAUUGUAGUGGAUCGCAAGUUGAACAUGACCCAGCAGUGUGAUGCUGCGGCAAAAAAGGCAAAUGCGGUUUUGGGCUGCAUAAACAGAGCUAUAGUUUCCAGGUCGAGGGAAGUAAUAGUCCCACUAUAUUCUGCAUUAGUCAGGCCUCAUCUGGAAUACUGCGUUCAGUUCUGGGCACCUCAUUUUAAGAAAGAUAUAGACAAGUUAUAGCGGGUUCAGAAGAGGGCAAUGAGGAUGAUAGCUGGUAUGGAGAACAAGUCUUAUGAGGAAAGGUUGAAGGAACUUGGCAUGUUCAGUCUGGUGAAGAGAAGGCUGAGGGGUGACAUGAUUGCACUCUUUAAGUACCUGAAGGGCUGUCACAUAGAGAAGGGUACAGAUUUAUUCUCUGCUGCCCCAGAGGGUAGGACAAGGUCUAAUGGUUUUAAGUUGCAGGAGCGUAGAUUCAGAUUGGACAUUAGAAGGAACUUCUUGACGGUAAGGGCAGUUCAGCAAUGGAACCGACUGCCUAGGGAGGUGGUGGGAUCCCCUUCGCUGGAUGUCUUCAAGCAGAGGCUGGACAGCUAUCUGCGGGAGAUGCUCUAGCUGUGGAUUUCCUGCUGUGAGCAGGGGGUUGGACUCGAUGGCCUACAAGGUCCCUUCCAACUCUAUGAUUCUAUGAUUCUAUUCUAUGACAGACUUCCCUCACGUCUAGCAGAAGCAUCCCAUUAUUCAAAGAAAGUUUAGAAAAAAAGUAGCCUGUAUCAUGCCCUUCUGCCCCUCAAGGCGCGAGAAGUAUGCUUCAGACCCAAUUCCCAUCCUUAGGGUAAUUGUUCUGGAAUCCCAAAUACUAAAUUCUUCCUUACCAAGGCUAUGUAAACCAACACCAACCUUGUAAGGUAGAAAGUAGGCUGCCACCACCCCUGUCACUGGUUCAACUCAGAGCUAGGGGAACUCUGAGCCCAGAAAAUAGGUAAACCAAGGUCCUGUAAGACAAGAGCCAAAUGUACAGUCCUUGUCAAGAAACCUCUGGUAAAACCCCACAAAUUAGAAUUAAGCUUUAACUCUUUUUCCCUUUUGGUAGAUGUGUAGCGGAAUGGUCAAGGUGCUGAAUUCAGAACCACCCUUACCCUCAAUGAACACACCAAGUUAAAUAGAAGUAGCUUUAUUCAAAAAAAAUAUAAGUGCACAUUAAAAUAUAGCAGCAAACAGUUCCUCAAAACCAUACACUCAAACAGGGGUUUAGGUACAUAUAAGAGAGUUCAUUCACACAACAAGAAAAUAACAACCUAGCUAACCUAGCUACUUACAUAGGAGGUAGUUGGUUGAAGUCUCGUCUCUCCUCAGAGAGAAUAGCAUCAGUUACAAGCAAUGGAACCCUGCUUAGGUAGCCUCCCAUAGGCACCACUCAGAAGGAACCUUUCAGAACCUUCCUGAGGGAACAAAGGCUAUGGGUCCUUAGCCCUAUACUUAAGAGGAAAGAAACUCAAAGGUCCAAGAUUAAUUAACCAAUCAGGAGUCUUCUGAUGUAAUCCCUUUCUAAAUGUUUCUCCACUUUUUUGCAUCUUCCAGGCCCCCCUCCCAACAGGGUUUCAAUCUUCUGUGACACGGAUGGCCUUGAGUGCCAGGCUCUUACUGAUUAGCAUAGAUAACCAGGUGCCUCUGUUUAGGCCUUCCUUAACUGUCCAGCUGGGAAUCGAAACUUAACAUUUUCCCCUUUCCGAGGCCUGUUUCUCUAACAAGAUGACACUCCCAGAGUCCUUUGCACUGAGCCAUGAUGUUACAUAUAAUUUUAACAUUUCAGAAAAAUAUCCAGGUUCAUGACAGCCUGAGUUACUCAGUGUCAGCUAGAAACACACACACACACACACACACACAAAAUCACCUCAUACCCAGACCCCUCCUUUGCAAGGAGAGAGAAAAAGAGUCUUUUAAAAAGAGGCUUGAGUGGGAAAAGGUGGGUAAUGGCGAUCUGAGCUCUUAACAUGUGUAACAACGCUCUCCAAGCAGGGAGAUAACCAGGAAGGAAUUCUGUAUUUCAGCACAAGCCUUGGGGCAAACGGAUUCCUUCCUGAUUUGGGGUCAGAGCUCUUCCACACCCCUUCAGCUGCACUCCACUGCCCACCCCUGGGCCUAGGAUAGGUAAUCUCUCCUACCUGUCACUCUUUAUAGUAAUAGGGCCCUUUGAUCUCUUUAAUUUCCUCUUUCAACAAGCCUUUUAAGUUGAGACCUAUCCCAGUCUGUGUCUGUGUUAGAAUUGCUUUUA